CUACGGGAGGCACCAGUGAGGAAUAUUGCGCAAUGGGGGAAACCCUGACGCAGCGACGCCGCGUGGAUGAUGAAGGCCUUCGGGUCGUAAAAUCCUGUCAGAAGGAAAGAAGUGUAUGGUAGCUAAUAUCUGCCAUACUUGACGGUACCUUCAAAGGAAGCACCGGCUAACUCCGUGCCAGCAGCCGCGGUAAUACGGAGGGUGCAAGCGUUGUUCGGAAUUACUGGGCGUAAAGCGCGCGUAGGCGGGUGUAUAAGUCAGAUGUGAAAGUCCACGGCUCAACCAUGGAAGUGCAUUUGAAACUGUAAGACUUGAGUAUUGGGGGGGGUAGUGGAAUUCCCGGUGUAGAGGUGAAAUUCGUAGAUAUCGGGAGGAAUACCGGUGGCGAAGGCGACUAUCUGGCCAAAUACUGACGCUGAGGUGCGAAAGCGUGGGGAGCAAACAGGAUUAGAUACCCCCGUAGUC
RNAcentral lists this ribosomal RNA (465 nucleotides) under uncultured bacterium. RNAcentral's name for it is "partial 16S ribosomal RNA". It matches the Rfam family "Bacterial small subunit ribosomal RNA", at positions 339 to 795 of the family's 1533-position model. The record is from RNAcentral.